Molecule: ribosomal RNA, 639 nt
Filed under: Staphylococcus aureus
Lineage: Bacteria; Bacillati; Bacillota; Bacilli; Caryophanales; Staphylococcaceae
Description: partial 23S ribosomal RNA
Rfam family: Bacterial large subunit ribosomal RNA
Source: RNAcentral
AGAUUAAGUUAUUAAGGGCGCACGGUGGAUGCCUUGGCACUAGAAGCCGAUGAAGGACGUUACUAACGACGAUAUGCUUUGGGGAGCUGUAAGUAAGCUUUGAUCCAGAGAUUUCCGAAUGGGGAAACCCAGCAUGAGUUAUGUCAUGUUAUCGAUAUGUGAAUACAUAGCAUAUCAGAAGGCACACCCGGAGAACUGAAACAUCUUAGUACCCGGAGGAAGAGAAAGAAAAUUCGAUUCCCUUAGUAGCGGCGAGCGAAACGGGAAGAGCCCAAACUAACAAGCUUGCUUGUUGGGGUUGUAGGACACUCUAUACGGAGUUACAAAGGACGACAUUAGACGAAUCAACUGGAAAGAUGAAUCAAAGAAGGUAAUAAUCCUGUAGUCGAAAAUGUUGUCUCUCUUGAGUGGAUCCUGAGUACGACGGAGCACGUGAAAUUCCGUCGGAAUCUGGGAGGACCAUCUCCUAAGGCUAAAUACUCUCUAGUGACCGAUAGUGAACCAGUACCGUGAGGGAAAGGUGAAAAGAACCCCGGAAGGGGAGUGAAAUAGAACCUGAAACCGUGUGCUUACAAGUAGUCAGAGCCCGUUAAUGGGUGAUGGCGUGCCUUUUGUAGAAUGAACCGGCGAGUUACGAUU